UACAGAGGGUGCGAGCGUUAAUCGGAAUUACUGGGCGUAAAGCGCGCGUAGGCGGCUUUGCAAGUCGGGUGUGAAAUCCCCAGGCUUAACCUGGGAACUGCAUUCGAGACUGCAUUGCUAGAGUAUGGGAGAGGGAAGUGGAAUUUCCGGUGUAGCGGUGAAAUGCGUAGAGAUGUGGAGGAACACCGAUGGCGAAGGCAGCCUCCUGGGCCAGCACUGACGCUCAUGCACGAAAGCGUGGGGAGCAAACAGG
RNAcentral lists this ribosomal RNA (253 nucleotides) under uncultured bacterium. Its description in RNAcentral is "partial 16S ribosomal RNA". It matches the Rfam family "Bacterial small subunit ribosomal RNA", at positions 524 to 776 of the family's 1533-position model. The record is from RNAcentral.